Molecule: transfer RNA, 66 nt
Filed under: Thremma gallicum
Lineage: Eukaryota; Metazoa; Arthropoda; Insecta; Trichoptera; Uenoidae
Description: tRNA-Gly
Source: RNAcentral
ACUUAAAUAAUAUAAAAAGUAUAAUUAACUUCCAAUUAAACAGUUUAAUGAAAAUUAAUUUAAGUA